RNAcentral lists this ribosomal RNA (468 nucleotides) under uncultured bacterium. RNAcentral's name for it is "partial 16S ribosomal RNA". It matches the Rfam family "Bacterial small subunit ribosomal RNA", at positions 28 to 507 of the family's 1533-position model. The record is from RNAcentral.
GACGAACGCUGGCGGCGUGCUUAACACAUGCAAGUCGAACGGAAAGGCCCUGCUUUUGUGGGGUGCUCGAGUGGCGAACGGGUGAGUAACACGUGAGUAACCUGCCCUUGACUUUGGGAUAACUUCAGGAAACUGGGGCUAAUACCGGAUAGGAGCUCCUGCUGCAUGUUGGUGGUUGGAUAGUUUCGGCUGUUGGGGAUGGGCUCGCGGCUUCUCAUCUUGUUUGUGGGGUAGUGGCUUACCAAGGCUUUGACGGGUAGCCGGCCUGUGAGGGUGAACGGGCAAAGAGGGACUGAGAGAGGGACCAGAAUCGAACGGGAGGCAGCAGGGGGGAAUAUGGCAGAAGGGGCGGAAGCGUGAUGCAGAAAAGCCGCGUGCGGGAUGACGGGCUACGGGUUGUAAACAGAUUGCGCAUGUGACGAAGCGUGAGUGACGGUAAUGGGUAAAGAAGCACCGGCUAACUACGUG